AUUGAACGCUGGCGGCAGGCCUAACACAUGCAAGUCGAGCGGAUGAAGGGAGCUUGCUCCUGGAUUCAGCGGCGGACGGGUGAGUAAUGCCUAGGAAUCUGCCUGGUAGUGGGGGAUAACGUCCGGAAACGGGCGCUAAUACCGCAUACGUCCUGAGGGAGAAAGUGGGGGAUCUUCGGACCUCACGCUAUCAGAUGAGCCUAGGUCGGAUUAGCUAGUUGGUGGGGUAAAGGCCUACCAAGGCGACGAUCCGUAACUGGUCUGAGAGGAUGAUCAGUCACACUGGGACCUGAGACACGGCCAGGCCCCUACGGGGAGGCACCAGUGGGAAUUUUGGGCCAAGGGCCGAAAGCUUGUCCCAGCCAGCCCGGUGGGGUGAAGAAGGUCUCCGGUUUGUAAAGACUUUUAGGUUGGGAGGAAGGGAAGUAAGUUAAUACCUUGCUGUUUUGCCGUACCAACAGAAUAAGCACCGGCUAACUUCGUG
RNAcentral lists this ribosomal RNA (484 nucleotides) under uncultured bacterium. RNAcentral's name for it is "partial 16S ribosomal RNA". It matches the Rfam family "Bacterial small subunit ribosomal RNA", at positions 30 to 507 of the family's 1533-position model. The record is from RNAcentral.